GUGUCACCGUGUCACGUCACCACAUUAGUGUCACCAUGUCACCACGUUACACUGUCACUAUGUCACCAUGUCACUGCGUUACAGCGUCACUGCGUCACCAUGUCACCGUAUCGUGUCACGUAUCACCACGUUAGUGUCACCCUGUCACCAUGUCACCCUGUCACCAUAUCACUGUUAGUGUCACCACGUUAGUCACUGUCACCACGUUACAGUCACUGUGUCACUAUGUCAACGUGUCACCACGUUACAACAUCACUGUCACCAUGUCACUGUAUCGUGUCACCGUGUCACGUCACCGCGUUAGUGUCACUCUGUCACCAUGUCACCCUGUCACCAUGUUACACCGUCACCAUGUCACGUUACACUGUCACUGUAUCACUACGUCACCGUGUCACUGCGUUAGUGUCACUGCAUCACCAUGUCACCGUAUUGUGUCACGUCACCGCGUUAGUGUCACUAUGUCACUGUGUCACCACGUUACCGCGUCACUGCGUCACCAUGUCACUAUGUUACAGUAUCGCCAUGUCACCACGUUACACUGUCACCGGGUCACUACGUCACCACAUUCGUGUCACCGUGUCACUGUAUUGUGUCACCGUGUCACCACGUUAGUGUCACUAUGUCACCAUGUUACAGUGUCACCGAGUCACUAUGUCACCGUGUCACCACACCACGGUGUCACGGUGUCACCAUGUCACUAUGUCACUAUGUUACAGUGUCACCAUGUCACCGUGUGACUGCGUCACCGUGUCACCACGUCACCCC
This 765-nucleotide long non-coding RNA is filed under the name Anser brachyrhynchus (Pink-footed goose). RNAcentral's name for it is "lncRNA (ENSABRG00000023115.1)". The record is from RNAcentral. Lineage: Eukaryota; Metazoa; Chordata; Aves; Anseriformes; Anatidae.